Molecule: small RNA, 122 nt
Filed under: Salmonella enterica subsp. salamae
Lineage: Bacteria; Pseudomonadati; Pseudomonadota; Gammaproteobacteria; Enterobacterales; Enterobacteriaceae
Description: partial RtT sRNA
Rfam family: RtT RNA
About the family: This family represents a bacterial cis-regulatory element known as RtT RNA. The exact function of RtT is unknown although it is thought that it may be involved in changing the cellular response in relation to amino acid starvation.
Source: RNAcentral
UCGAAUCCUGCACGACCCACCAAUAUACAAGGUGGUAACCGGUAGAGAACGUGAAGGAUAACGUUGCUUUAGCAACGGCCCGAAGGGCGAGGCGAAGCCGAGUCAUCCUGCACGACCCACCA